CCCGAUGACUAGUCUUGUGGCGACCAUUACCGUUACUGAAACCCAUUACUCAACAGUCAUGACGACCACAAGAGAACAAACGGAUGAGUAUGAAGUUUACACAGAUAACGACUCCUCUGAAGAGUCGGAGAGGGACUAUGAUAUUCCCCCACGUAGAAGGAGAGACGAAAACCAGGGCCGAGAUUCCCAACACCAUGCUAGACAAAACAAUCCCGAGUCCCGAGGACCUACACAUCAGGAAUAUGAGGCCAGAAUUCG
RNAcentral lists this long non-coding RNA (258 nucleotides) under Daucus carota (carrot). RNAcentral's name for it is "long non-coding RNA (DCAR_LNC002273)". The record is from RNAcentral. Lineage: Eukaryota; Viridiplantae; Streptophyta; Magnoliopsida; Apiales; Apiaceae.